RNAcentral lists this unclassified non-coding RNA (174 nucleotides) under soil metagenome. RNAcentral describes it as "partial internal transcribed spacer 1". The record is from RNAcentral.
CAAGAAGCCGAAAGGCUACUUAAAACCAUCGCGAACUUAUCCAAGUUGCUUCGGCGGCGCGGCUCCCCUCACGGGGGACCGCAAGCCCCCGCCUCUCAGGAGGUAAGGGGCAGCCGCCGGAGGUACGAAACUCUGUAUUAUAGUGGUAUCUCUGAGUAUAAAACAAAUAAGUUA